UUCAAACUGUUUUAAAAUCAGAUAAAUAGGAGAAUAAUAAUAGUUGAGUGACCAUGCUAAACUCGUGGAAUCCGGUAAUGCCUAACACCUUCUCCCGGGUUAACAGAAUUCCUUACCCGGAUUUCUGUAUUUUGCGGACUAUAAAUCAGAGUCAAACUUCCUAGAUUCGGGAUUUAAACCGAUGACUCGAGACACCACAAAUUAGCCAAAGUGUCGAAUCCAAAUAUAAUAUAAAUAAUCACAUUUCG
Molecule: long non-coding RNA, 248 nt
Filed under: Nicotiana benthamiana
Lineage: Eukaryota; Viridiplantae; Streptophyta; Magnoliopsida; Solanales; Solanaceae
Description: long non-coding RNA (NBEN_LNC037406)
Source: RNAcentral